ACAGUCCUUAACCUGUCACUUUGACUGGGCGCCCGCCCCCGCUCCUCGCCCCCGCCCCCUCCUCGCUCCUCUGCCAGUUCAGUUCCUUAGUGACACGGUGGGAGUUGAUUGAACAGUUGCCGUGCAGGCACAGUUUGGGAGAGGAGGAAAUCCUGCCGAAAACUGUUGACGUUUAAAUGGAUGGAGGAGAAACGGGCCUCUUCCCCCCGAAAACCCAUGACGCCCCGGCCGGGCUUUGUGUCUCCACGCUGUAGCGAGGCCCCGAAGUGACGGAGGAACACAGAGAGGGCACUCAGCCCUCUUUGACCCUCUCCGUCCACGAGACUUUGCCUCUGCCAUUCCUGAUGCCAACAGUGACCUCUCCCAACCUCCUCGACUCAAGAGCCUCCAUCUCCAUCCCUCAUCCAAGCCAAAAGCCUCUUUUGCCUUCCGUUCUCUUCUAGCAACUCACCUACAUCCUAUCCCUCUCUGCUCCCUUCUCUCUCCUUUUUCUCACCUCCUCCCUCUCCAGCUCCAUCUCCCAUCAUUUACCUCAGUGACUGAACAAUUUAACUGCAAUGUGUUCGGGGAUCUAGCCUGCAAGAAAGAGGCGGCACAGAAUAAAGUUGUUCUGUCUGUUCUGUAUUUUAAAAGACAUUUAGUGCUUGGGAGAGAAACCCCAAAACAUAGGGUUUGGUCAUUUGGGCUUGUAUAAAUCUCCCAGGCUCUGAGGUUGGUGAUAUGGUUUAAGGAAAUUGAGGCCCACCCAGCUGCCUACAGUAGCCCCCUUCAGAAGUCCCUCUGGACUGUAAGCUCGUCGUGGGCAGGGAAAAUUGCUAUUCCCUGUCAUUGUUAUUAAUACAGUUCUCUGCAUUCAUUCAUUCAUUCAACCAUAUUUACUGAGCGCUUACUGUGUGCAAAGCACUGUACUAAGCUCUUGGGAGAGUACAAUACAAGAGACACAUUUCUGCCCACAGCGAGCUCACAGUAAGUGCUCAGAAAAUAUUAUUGACUGGCCGACUAGCACCUGUUCCCAUGCCAAAUUUGUAGUUGGGAUGGGGAAAGAUAAGAAGCUUUCUUGUUAGUGCACAUACACACACACACACACUUCGACUCUCAUUGCCCUAGUGCUGCCAACAGCUGCUGCUGCUGUUUGAUCUUCAGAAAAAAAAAAGAAAUCAAGCCUGAAAAGGUACAGGAGGGACAUCUUGAGCCUGCAGCCGUGGUGUGCUGUAAAUUAUAUUCUCUUAACAGGUUUAUUCGUUUAUAAAAUAUUUAAGACCCGUUUCACUUUACCUGUGGCGUUGACGCAUCUAGGACUGGUGCAGAGAUUGAUGUUCUUAAUAUGAUUUAUUCAUUUGGGUUUUCUCUAUCGGGUCUGAUCGCCAGUUAGAAUUUAACCAAGUGGCAAGGUGAGGUGUGUGUGCGUGUGUGUGUGUAUGUGUGUGCAUUUGUGUGUUGUUCUCCCCACCCGGAUUAUAAAUGAUCAUUUGAUUUAUUGAAGCACAGCACUUCUCCAAGCCCAGGAGAGCCAGAGAGCCGGCUGCCCUGGGAAUGAUUUUCCUGAAUGGUUGAUCCCCUCAUUUGGUCCCCAUUUAAGCAGGCUCUAUGCUUGACGAUGUGACGGCAAAUGGAAGAACUCCUGAAACAGCAUUCUGUUGUGAGACAGCCUAGAGAGAACAGGUUUUUUUGCUCCCUUCAAGGUUUCCUGAGGCUCAGAGAAACGGUUCACCACUCACUGUCGAGGUGACCUAGGGGUAAAACCAACCACCAC
RNAcentral lists this long non-coding RNA (1753 nucleotides) under Ornithorhynchus anatinus (platypus). RNAcentral's name for it is "lncRNA (ENSOANG00000038523.1)". Lineage: Eukaryota; Metazoa; Chordata; Mammalia; Monotremata; Ornithorhynchidae. The record is from RNAcentral.